This 72-nucleotide transfer RNA is filed under the name Araneus ventricosus. RNAcentral describes it as "tRNA-Met". The record is from RNAcentral. Lineage: Eukaryota; Metazoa; Arthropoda; Arachnida; Araneae; Araneidae.
UAGUAAAACGUUGUUUCGAUCCACGGAAAUCUGGGUUAUGGGCCCAGCACGCUUCCACUGCGCCACUCUGCU